GCCGGGAUUGCAUAAUCUGGUAUUGCGCAGGCCUGGAAAGCCUGUUUCCGAAAGGAUGUCUGGGUUCAAACGAGCAUGCGAGCUUUUUCGCAUGCAUCUCGUUGCCUGACUUAACACAACCAUCAGAUUGAAAAUCCCAGUCCCGGCG
Molecule: transfer RNA, 148 nt
Filed under: Candidatus Woesearchaeota archaeon
Lineage: Archaea; Nanobdellati; Candidatus Woesearchaeota
Description: tRNA-Ser
Source: RNAcentral